GAUGAACGCUGGCGGCGUGCCUAAUACAUGCAAGUCGAGCGAACGGACGAGAAGCUUGCUUCUCUGAUGUUAGCGGCGGACGGGUGAGUAACACGUGGAUAACCUACCUAUAAGACUGGGAUAACUUCGGGAAACCGGAGCUAAUACCGGAUAAUAUUUUGAACCGCAUGGUUCAAAAGUGAAAGACGGUCUUGCUGUCACUUAUAGAUGGAUCCGCGCUGCAUUAGCUAGUUGGUAAGGUAACGGCUUACCAAGGCAACGAUGCAUAGCCGACCUGAGAGAGUGAUCGGCCACACUGGAACUGAGACACGGUCCAGACUCCUACGAGAGGCAGCAGUAGGGAAUCUUCCGCAAUGGGCGAAAGCCUGACGGAGCAACGCCGCGUGAGUGAUGAAGGUCUUCGGAUCGUAAAACUCUGUUAUUAGGGAAGAACAUAUGUGUAAGUAACUGUGCACAUCUUGACGGUACCUAAUCAGAAAGCCACGGCUAACUACGUG
RNAcentral lists this ribosomal RNA (497 nucleotides) under uncultured bacterium. RNAcentral's name for it is "partial 16S ribosomal RNA". It matches the Rfam family "Bacterial small subunit ribosomal RNA", at positions 28 to 507 of the family's 1533-position model. The record is from RNAcentral.